GACGAACGCUGGCGGCGUGCCUAAUACAUGCAAGUAGAACGCUGAAGGAGGAGCUUGCUUCUCUGGAUGAGUUGCGAACGGGUGAGUAACGCGUAGGUAACCUGCCUGGUAGCGGGGGAUAACUAUUGGAAACGAUAGCUAAUACCGCAUAAUAGCAGUUAUUGCAUGAUAACUGUUUGAAAGGUGCAAUUGCUCCACUACCAGAUGGACCUGCGUUGUAUUAGCUAGUUGGUGGGGUAACGGCUCACCAAGGCGACGAUACAUAGCCGACCUGAGAGGGUGAUCAGCCACACUGGGACUGGGACACGGCCCAGACUCCUACGGAAGGCAGCCGUAGGGAAUCUUCGGCAAUGGACGGAAGUCCGACCGAGCAACGCCGCGUGAGUGAAGAAGGUUGUCGGCUCGUAAAGCUCUGUUGUAAGAGGAGAACGAGUGUGAGAGUGGAAAGUUCACACUGUGACGGUAUCUUACCAGAAAGGGACGGCUAACUACGUG
This 495-nucleotide ribosomal RNA is filed under the name uncultured bacterium. Its description in RNAcentral is "partial 16S ribosomal RNA". It matches the Rfam family "Bacterial small subunit ribosomal RNA", at positions 28 to 507 of the family's 1533-position model. The record is from RNAcentral.